Corvus hawaiiensis (hawaiian crow) is the source of this 3472-nucleotide RNA transcript. It is a transcript of the gene named cortexin 2, with no coding region annotated. The transcript has 2 exons. The record is from RefSeq and is a predicted model, not a curated record. Lineage: Eukaryota; Metazoa; Chordata; Aves; Passeriformes; Corvidae.
UGGGCUUUCGACAGCUGGCGAGGCGGGCCCGGAGGCGCGGAGAGCUCCGCGCUCGGCCACCAUGGGCAGCGCGGGCGCGGAGGACACGGACCACGUAUUUGAAUUCACAACACAGAAGCUCUUGUCCAAUGAAGACUCCAGGCUUAUGUAUUUGCUACGGAUAAAAUCUUAUUUUUGCAAUUCAUUGCGUGUCGGAAGGCUGGACGUGUCACUGCUCGGCUGCUGCUUCUUCACAGGGGAGUGCUGUUUAUGUGGAAAAGUGUUGCUUGCACCCUGAGUUACCAUGCUGCAAAAACACUGUGUGGGGGCUCUCUUUGCAGAGCCGUGAGCCAUGCCUUCAUUUGCUGAGCAUCCAUGCCCUGGCAUUCCUACCUUCACCUCCCUGUAUGUUGUCUUAGAACCCGUACCCUGAGGAGACAAUGUUCUCCCCAGCAAUUUAGAGAAUACAGGCAUGCAGUGAGCACGAGUAUGACAGGUCAGCUGUGCAGUCACAGCGCUCCUUUUGCAGCAUUUCUGGCCACGUGGUGUUAACUCAGGUAGCUCAGACUCUGAAGAGAAUUCCAUGUUCAUGCUGAUUUCUAUUUCUAGUCUAUUUUAUAGGACUUCUCCAUUGUUAAUCUUUUCAUCUUACCACCUUCUAUGACCAAUUUCUGUAACAGCAUUUCUGGAACACUGUUUAGUUUCCCUGAACAGAUAGUUAAGUGCAAAUGAGGCGCUUCCAAAGCUCCCAGAGAAAGGCUGUUUGUAGGUCCCUUUUCAAGUUAGGUUUGCUGUUACUUAAGCACAAGCUCGGGACUGAAGCUAUUCGAAGUACUUGCAGAAUGACCACAUCCAUGAACAAGCAUCUGGGCUGCAGACAUCCAAGAAGAGAACAGAUGGCCACUGAUUUGGUCCAUUUUGUUACAAACUAUCAUUUAGGAAGUGAGUCUUCAGGCACCCAAGGCUUAAUUGCACCAAGAGGAUGAAUGGUCCCAGCUUGAGACCUUGUACAGAUAGUCAUUUCCAGUACUGAGCCAUUAGAAAAAAAUCCUGAAGGGGGUUCUGUGAGAGAAGGACUGGAACCCAAAACCCAAGGAUGAUUAUCCUGGUUACUUUCUUGAUCUUCUCAAGUCUCUCUGUAAACAUGAGACUAAAGGCUAGGUCUGAAAAAAGUGACACCCUGUCACUCCAAACCACCAAAUAGCUGGGGCUGGUAUCUUCAGUCAACACCAAACACUGACAGAGUUGGGCUGGUGAUUCUGCUAGAACAAGAAUUUCAACAUCUUCCUUCCAGCUGCCUCACAAUACCUAGUACCCAUGGUGUUUCCCUUCAUCCCCCCAUAGGUGCAGCCAGCACUCCCAGCUCAUACCUCUGUGUUUCUUAGCUCAGUGCUAAGCUGUACUCCUCAUUCCUAUUUUCUUUAGGACUCUGAUUGUUUCUUCUGGCCUCAGAAGGACUUCCAAUGGCCUUUUAUUUCACAGCAGGAUGUUAAGGAGCCUUUCUUUUUGCCAGUGUUUAUAUGGGUAGCAAAUCAAAGGAGGAGAGGAGUCCUGACCUGUAAAAAAAGAUUGAGAUCAGUCUGGGGUCAGCCCCCACAAAAUGGCUCUGCAGAUCCUAACUGAUACAAUGCUUGUCCCCAUGAAGCUGUCCUGAAGGCUAUCUUUGAGCAUUUUGGGAUCCAGGCCAGGUUAGUUAGUAUUCAGAGUCUUCUGGUUCAGGACUUGGACAGAUACACUGCAGCAAAUGGCAGGGUGUCUGACUGCCUGGGAGAGGACAUCUGACCUGCGUGCAGCACUAAAAUGUGAAAGCAAUAAAAGGUACUCAAGGUCAGUCUUGGUACCACGGUUUUGGGGAUACAUAAUUAGAACAAAAAUUCCUGUGAACUUUAAGGCUUCAAUUACAAAUUCUGAAAUUCAGGACAAGGAAGAGAAGAACACAAAGCUGCACAUUAGAGUUUCCCAGAAGCAAUCCUCCCCAAGCAAAAUACAGUUCUCUCAUGCGGCUUUUUCCAGCAAACUUUUGUUAAAUAAGACUAAGAUAUCAAUUUCUCCAUGUUUCAGCAUAAAUCAAGCUUUGCACAGAGAUCUGUCCCAUAAUGUCUCCUGACAAGCACAUAAUCUACAAACAAAUCCCAUCUAAUUCCAGUGUGUAAGCUGCAAAAUUAGUAAGACUGGAAGUCAUAUUCUUGGAAAAUUACUCUGUGUGGUGAAGAAAUGUUAUGUCAAAUACAAAGGUAUUUGUCUGGACUCAACUCAGAUUCAGGGUUCUCCAUGGCCAGCCUAUCCCUAACAUUUUUCUCAAUGUCUUUCAAGAGAACAACUGGGUUUUUUGGGUCUGGCUUUUCCAGGUAGUGACUAUUUAUCAUUUUCCUGUAUAAGCCUUGUUCCUAAUUUUUAUAGCCCAGUGCCCUAGGACUUUGGGAAAGUAUUUUUUUUUCCUUGACUGGCUUUUGCUCAAAUCAACUGAUUUCUAACAUAAAUUUGUGAUAUUGAACUUUCUUUGAUUUUUUUUUUCCUGCAGAAGGUCAAACUUAAUAGAAAAAUUGGAAGUAUGCCCAAUGAAAAUCCAUACAGCAGGUGGGCUUUACCUAUGAUGUAUUUUCAGAAAAUAAAUAUUGCUUGUUGUUGACAUUAUUUCUAAUUCCCAUAGGCUAUAUCUGGAUCUUUCUUCCAUCCUAACAGGAAUUAAAACAAAAUGACUCAAAGAGCAGAAUACAAUGCAAAACAAGGAAGGAUCUCAUACACAGCUCUACAGACUAAACAGAAUAUUGGUUGCUGUGCUCUGGCAAAUGUGUAAACACUAAAAGGAAACAUUAUUUAAUAUCUACUAUACUGAAGUUUAUUGCAAAAAAGAAAUACGUGGUUUUUGCCCUUUUGAUCUUUGUUCUAAAAUUUUUGUUCUUUAGGAUAAUAGUCAAAAAUCCCACAAAUUUUGAAGUGAGAAAGGAGACACCAAACAAAAUAGAAAUUCUGUUCAUUUCUAUCUGCUCGGGAAUAUCAAAAGUUAUUUCUACUUUUUCUGUUGUUUUUACUUGUAGGCUGACUCAGAGUAUGGCUCUCUCAGCCAUGACUGCAGUACACAGUAAAGAUACUGGACCUCCCUUUAACCUGGCCUAGCAGUGCAGGUACCUGAAGCAGUGUAGCCAUGGCAGCACAGAGCUCUGAGUGGCCUGAUUACUCUGCCAAGAAAUAAAUUGAUAGUGGCAAUUCCCUGGGGAAAAAGAGGUUGAAUCGUUAACAAAAAGAGUUUCCCCUCAGGCACGUUCGUUAAAUAGGUGUUAGCAAGAGCCAGAAAACCUCAAGUUCUAACUUUAGAAUAAAAAUGUCUUUGUCCUUUGGCACUUUUGAUGUCCUAGUCCUUCCAAUUCUCCCACUCUCUGUAGAUACAAAAGAAAGAUGUGAUUCCAAUAUCUGAUGGAAAACCUAAAUUAAAGCCAAAUGAUCCCCACACAACCAAAAUCUAUACAUAAGAUCUCCUUAAAAAGACAAAUUU